UGGGGAAUAUUGCACAAUGGGCGAAAGCCUGAUGCAGCGACGCCGCGUGCGGGAUGAAGGCCUUCGGGUUGUAAACCGCUUUUGAUUGGGGAGCAAGCGAGAGUGAGUGUACCUUUCGAAUAAGCACCGGCUAACUACGUGCCAGCAGCCGCGGUAAUACGUAGGGUGCAAGCGUUAUCCGGAAUUAUUGGGCGUAAAGAGCUCGUAGGCGGUUUGUCGCGUCUGGUGUGAAAGUCCAUCGCUUAACGGUGGAUCUGCGCCGGGUACGGGCAGGCUAGAGUGCGACAGGGGAGACUGGAAUUCCCGGUGUAACGGUGGAAUGUGUAGAUAUCGGGAAG
RNAcentral lists this ribosomal RNA (338 nucleotides) under uncultured bacterium. Its description in RNAcentral is "partial 16S ribosomal RNA". It matches the Rfam family "Bacterial small subunit ribosomal RNA", at positions 355 to 704 of the family's 1533-position model. The record is from RNAcentral.